RNAcentral lists this ribosomal RNA (449 nucleotides) under uncultured bacterium. RNAcentral's name for it is "bacterial SSU rRNA". It matches the Rfam family "Bacterial small subunit ribosomal RNA", at positions 331 to 794 of the family's 1533-position model. The record is from RNAcentral.
CCAGACUCCUACGGGAGGCAGCAGUGGGGAAUAUUGGGCAAUGGGCGCAAGCCUGACCCAGCAAUGCCGCGUGAAGGAAGAAGGCCCUCGGGUUGUAAACUUCUUUUAUCAGGGACGAAGGAUGUGACGGUACCUGAUGAAUAAGCUCCGGCUAACUACGUGCCAGCAGCCGCGGUAAUACGUAGGGAGCAAGCGUUAUCCGGAUUUACUGGGUGUAAAGGGCGUGCAGCCGGGAAGACAAGUCAGAUGUGAAAUCCCGCGGCUCAACCGCGGAACUGCAUUUGAAACUGUUUUUCUUGAGUACCGGAGAGGUCAUCGGAAUUCCUUGUGUAGCGGUGAAAUGCGUAGAUAUAAGGAAGAACACCAGUGGCGAAGGCGGAUGACUGGACGGCAACUGACGGUGAGGCGCGAAAGCGUGGGGAGCAAACAGGAUUAGAUACCCGUGUACU